GACGAACGCUGGCGGCGUGCUUAACACAUGCAAGUCGAACGGAAAGGCCCUGCUUUUGUGGGGUGCUCGAGUGGCGAACGGGUGAGUAACACGUGAGUAACCUGCCCUUGACUUUGGGAUAACUUCAGGAAACUGGGGCUAAUACCGGAUAGGAGCUCCUGCUGCAUGGUGGGGGUUGGAAAGUUUCGGCGGUUGGGGAUGGACUCGCGGCUUAUCAGCUUGUUGGUGGGGUAGUGGCUUACCAAGGCUUUGACGGGUAGCCGGCCUGAGAGGGUGACCGGCCACAUUGGGACUGAGAUACGGCCCAGACUCCUACGGGAGGCAGCAGUGGGGAAUAUUGCACAAUGCGCGGAAGCCUGAUGCAGCAACGCCGCGUGCGGGAUGACGGCCUUCGGGUUGUAAACCGCUUUCGCCUGUGACGAAGCGUGAGUGACGGUAAUGGGUAAAGAAGCACCGGCUAACUACGUGCCAGCAGCCGCGGUGAUACGUAGGGUGCGAGCGUUGUCCGGAUUUAUUGGGCGUAAAGGGCUCGUAGGUGGUUGAUCGCGUCGGAAGUGUAAUCUUGGGGCUUAACCCUGAGCGUGCUUUCGAUACGGGUUGACUUGAGGAAGGUAGGGGAGAAUGGAAUUCCUGGUGGAGCGGUGGAAUGCGCAGAUAUCAGGAGGAACACCAGUGGCGAAGGCGGUUCUCUGGGCCUUUCCUGACGCUGAGGAGCGAAAGCGUGGGGAGCGAACAGGCUUAGAUACCCUGGUAGUCCACGCUGUAAACGGUGGGUACUAGGUGUGGGGUCCAUUCCACGGGUUCCGUGCCGUAGCUAACGCUUUAAGUACCCCGCCUGGGGAGUACGGCCGCAAGGCUAAAACUCAAAGGAAUUGACGGGGCCCCGCACAAGCGGCGGAGCAUGCGGAUUAAUUCGAUGCAACGCGUAGAACCUUACCUGGGUUUGACAUGGAUCGGGAGUGCUCAGAGAUGGGUGUGCCUCUUUUGGGGUCGGUUCACAGGUGGUGCAUGGCUGUCGUCAGCUCGUGUCGUGAGAUGUUGGGUUAAGUCCCGCAACGAGCGCAACCCUUGUUCACUGUUGCCAGCACGUUAUGGUGGGGACUCAGUGGAGACCGCCGGGGUCAACUCGGAGGAAGGUGGGGAUGACGUCAAGUCAUCAUGCCCCUUAUGUCCAGGGCUUCACGCAUGCUACAAUGGCUGGUACAGAGAGUGGCGAGCCUGUGAGGGUGAGCGAAUCUCGGAAAGCCGGUCUCAGUUCGGAUUGGGGUCUGCAACUCGACCUCAUGAAGUCGGAGUCGCUAGUAAUCGCAGAUCAGCAACGCUGCGGUGAAUACGUUCCCGGGGCU
Molecule: ribosomal RNA, 1346 nt
Filed under: uncultured bacterium
Lineage: Bacteria
Description: partial 16S ribosomal RNA
Rfam family: Bacterial small subunit ribosomal RNA
Source: RNAcentral